GUGCUUGCUUCAGUGGAACAUAUACUAAAAUUGGAACAAUAGAGAGAAGAUUAGCAUGGCCCCUGCGCAAGGAAGACACGUAAAUUCGUUAAGUGACCCACAUUUUU
This is a small nuclear RNA of Choloepus hoffmanni (Hoffmann's two-fingered sloth), 107 nucleotides long. The record is from Ensembl. NCBI's taxonomy places the organism in Eukaryota, Metazoa, Chordata, Mammalia, Pilosa, Megalonychidae.